RNAcentral lists this transfer RNA (93 nucleotides) under Pyrus pyrifolia. RNAcentral's name for it is "tRNA-Ser". It matches the Rfam family "tRNA". Rfam says of the family: Transfer RNA (tRNA) molecules are approximately 80 nucleotides in length. Their secondary structure includes four short double-helical elements and three loops (D, anti-codon, and T loops). Lineage: Eukaryota; Viridiplantae; Streptophyta; Magnoliopsida; Rosales; Rosaceae. The record is from RNAcentral.
GGAGAGAUGGCCGAGUGGUUGAUAGCUCCGGUCUUGAAAACCAGUAUAGUUCGAAACAAAGAACAAUCGAGGGUUCAAAUCCCUCUCUCUCCU